GAUGAACGCUGCGGCGUGCGUAACACAUGCAAGUUGAACGACGGUGCCAUGAAGUGGUAACACGGAGUGGUAUACGGAGUAGCGGACGGGUGAGUAAAGCAUGAGAAUCUGUCCUGUCGAGGGGGAUAACGUUCGGAAACGGACCCUAAUACCCCAUAGUCCGAGAGGUUAAAGGCAGCGAUGCGCGGCAGGAGGAGCUCGUGUCCUAUCAGCUAGUUGGUGAGGUAACGGCUCACCAAGGCAACGACGGGUAGCCGGCCUGAGAGGGUGACCGGCCACACUGGAACUGAGAAACGGUCCAGACUCCUACGGGAGGCAGCAGUGGGGAAUAUUGGGCAAUGGGAGGAAUCCUGACCCAGCGACGCCGCGUGAACGAAGACGGCCUUCGGGUUGUAAAGUUCUUUUAUGUGGGAAGAAUGAAGUGACGGUACCACAUGAAUAAGCCCCGGCUAACUAC
This 457-nucleotide ribosomal RNA is filed under the name Synergistetes bacterium oral taxon 360. RNAcentral describes it as "bacterial SSU rRNA". It matches the Rfam family "Bacterial small subunit ribosomal RNA", at positions 28 to 504 of the family's 1533-position model. The record is from RNAcentral. Lineage: Bacteria; Thermotogati; Synergistota.